This 266-nucleotide unclassified non-coding RNA is filed under the name Hevea brasiliensis (rubber tree). The record is from RNAcentral. Lineage: Eukaryota; Viridiplantae; Streptophyta; Magnoliopsida; Malpighiales; Euphorbiaceae.
GGGAGGGGGAAUUGGGAGGGGAUGCAGAAUCCCCACAAGUAAAACCAAUGCUGUAAUCAACAUUCGGUUUAGAAUUUUUUCCAACUUGCAGGCUGCAGCAAACCUAGGUUGUCCAAAAUCCACUACUUUUUAGGCAGGAUUGACUUUAGAUCCAUUGUGCACAUAAGUUUCAUUGGGUCCAGGUACUGUCCUACCCAACAUCAUUCCACAGAAUCAGGUUUCAUUGGGUCCAGGUACUGUCCUACCCAACAUCAUUCCACAGAAUC